AUGCAGCACCUGGACCGGGGAUUCAGCCCUCCCGGAUCAAAGUUUUUCCGGGAUGUCCUUCCUAGCUUUCAACUCCAUCCACAGGAUAUUGGACCGAAUUCCGUGUCCAACAUAUGCAAUUUUCAAGUAUUCUGUGAAGUUUACCUUCAAGAAGAACCAUCUGUUGAGCUCUUCUGGGAUUUUUUCCAUCUAAACUGCCGAACUGAGUUCUCUGACGGUCCCAACACUGAACUUGGUGGGGUGUCAAUCCAGAAGAGGAAAGAAGUUGAUUUCACUCAUGCAAAACACCACAGCCAUCCCAAAGAUUGGAACCAAACAUGGUUUUAUUGUCAGAACACUGCCCCUGCUGGAGAAAAUCCUUUGCCGGGUUACCGCGCUCACCGGCUUAGCAAUGGCCACCCGUUACCGCAACGAAUAACUGCCAAAGAAACGACAAGCUUAUGCACCUCAACUCGCUAA
Molecule: ribosomal RNA, 459 nt
Filed under: Triticum aestivum (bread wheat)
Lineage: Eukaryota; Viridiplantae; Streptophyta; Magnoliopsida; Poales; Poaceae
Description: partial small subunit ribosomal RNA
Source: RNAcentral